This is a long non-coding RNA of Acinonyx jubatus (cheetah), 758 nucleotides long. RefSeq lists it as uncharacterized. The transcript is spliced from 3 exons. NCBI's taxonomy places the organism in Eukaryota, Metazoa, Chordata, Mammalia, Carnivora, Felidae. The record is from RefSeq and is a predicted model, not a curated record.
AGAGGACAAGGAAAAGAAAUGGGUACAAAGAGGACAAAAGCUGUAUUUCUCACAUGCAAACAGGUUUUUCUGUGGAGAAGGACAUUCUAAUUCCCAAGAAGUCAAUUAACAAUGGACUCUCAAAGAUCUUCACAAAAAGGCUCAGGGUAGCCCUACUAUCUGGUAAAGCGGUUUAACACCUACUGUAAAGACGUCUAGGGAAAUGGGAUACUAGCAACCAAGACAAGUUUGAGGACACGUAUUUGUCCGCAUCACCACGGGCAGUUCCACUCUGCUUCCAGAGGAGGUUCCAUGCUCUUUCCUUCUAUGAAAGGACCUUUCUCUCUUGCUUCUCAUGAAUCUAGGGAGAUACACAUUCUUAGUGUACAAGAUCAGGUUUGACUUAUGUAUUCCCUUUGCUGUCUCAAACAAUAAACCAAAAAAAAAGUUUUGUUGAAAAAUUAUUUUCUCAAAUAAAAGAAAACUGUAAUGAGUACUUUUCAUUAAUUUCUUCUCAUGGGGACAUUAUCAAAGAACUUGGGAGCUCCUAUAAUACUGUUAAUUCAUAAUUUAAUUCAAGUAAAGAAAACAUCCUUUUUUGGGAGUGGGAGAGUGAUCCUUUCACCUCCUAGUCAUUAUCAAAGAUGACAUAAUUAAUCUAAGGGUUUGAGCAGUUAACUGGGUAGUAAAGAAAACGUAAAGAGAGAAUUAUUUUGGGUACUGACAGCAGUAGCAACAACAUCGAAUUCAGGACCCUCAUUUAACAAAUACAUAUUUAG